GGUGAACCAGCGGAGGGAUCAUUACUGAGUUUACGCUCUAUAACCCUUUGUGAACAUACCUAUAACUGUUGCUUCGGCGGGUAGGGUCUCCGUGACCCUCCCGGCCUCCCGCCCCCGGGCGGGUCGGCGCCCGCCGGAGGAUAACCAAACUCUGAUUUAACGACGUUUCUUCUGAGUGGUACAAGCAAAUAAUCAAAACUUUUAACAACGGAUCUCUUGGUUCUGGCAUCGAUGAAGAACGCAGCGAAAUGCGAUAAGUAAUGUGAAUUGCAGAAUUCAGUGAAUCAUCGAAUCUUUGAACGCACAUUGCGCCCGCCAGCAUUCUGGCGGGCAUGCCUGUUCGAGCGUCAUUUCAACCCUCAAGCUCUGCUUGGUGUUGGGGCCCUACAGCUGAUGUAGGCCCUCAAAGGUAGUGGCGGACCCUCCCGGAGCCUCCUUUGCGUAGUAACUUUACGUCUCGCACUGGGAUCCGGAGGGACUCUUGCCGUAAAACCCCCAAUUUUCCAAAGGUUGACCUCGGAUCAGGUAGGAAUACCCGCUGAACUUAAGCAUAU
This 554-nucleotide ribosomal RNA is filed under the name Colletotrichum sp. MTCC 4352. RNAcentral's name for it is "eukaryotic LSU rRNA". The stretch from base 197 to 350 matches the Rfam family "5.8S ribosomal RNA". The record is from RNAcentral. Lineage: Eukaryota; Fungi; Ascomycota; Sordariomycetes; Glomerellales; Glomerellaceae.